Molecule: unclassified non-coding RNA, 299 nt
Organism: Macaca fascicularis (crab-eating macaque)
Lineage: Eukaryota; Metazoa; Chordata; Mammalia; Primates; Cercopithecidae
Rfam family: Metazoan signal recognition particle RNA
About the family: The signal recognition particle (SRP) is a universally conserved ribonucleoprotein. It is involved in the co-translational targeting of proteins to membranes.
Source: Ensembl
ACCAGGUGUGAUGUCAUGCACCUUAGUCCCAGCUAUUCUGGAGGCUGAGGCAGGAGGAUCGCUCGAGCCCAGGAGUUCUGGGCUGUAGUGUGCUAUGCCAAUUGUGUGUUCACACUCAGUUCAGCAUCAAUAUGGUGACUUCCUGGGAGCAAGGGACCACUAGGUUGCCUAAGGAGGGGUAAACCAGCCCAGGUCAGAAAUGGAACAGGUCAAAACUCCUGUGCUGAUUAGUAGUGGGAUCACACCUGUGAAUAGCCACUGCACUCCAGCCUGGGCAACUUCAUGAGAUCCUAUUGCUU